RNAcentral lists this ribosomal RNA (329 nucleotides) under uncultured eukaryote. Its description in RNAcentral is "partial 18S ribosomal RNA". It matches the Rfam family "Eukaryotic small subunit ribosomal RNA", at positions 1470 to 1796 of the family's 1831-position model. The record is from RNAcentral.
CCCUUAGAUGUUCUGGGCCGCACGCGCGCUACACUGAUGCAUUCAACGAGUCUAAAACCUGCUCUGAUAGGGGUGGGUAAUCUUUUGAAUGUGCAUCGUGAUUGGGAUAGAUGAUUGCAAUUUUUCAUCUUCAACGAGGAAUGCCUAGUAAACGCAAGUCAUCAGCUUGCAUUGAUUACGUCCCUGCCCUUUGUACACACCGCCCGUCGCUCCUACCGAUUGAAUGAUCCGAUGAAUAUCAUGGAUUGAGGAUGCAAGUAGGUUCGCCUAUCUUCAUCUUCGAGAAGUGAAGUAAAUCGUAUCAUUUAGAGGAAGGAGAAGUCGUAACA